Astatotilapia calliptera (eastern happy) is the source of this 1927-nucleotide long non-coding RNA. Lineage: Eukaryota; Metazoa; Chordata; Actinopteri; Cichliformes; Cichlidae. The record is from Ensembl.
GUCUCUACUUAUUUAUUUGAAUUUCCAUGAAAUUUCCCAGUUGGAUUAAUAAAGCAUCUCUCGAUUCAUCUAUGCACUCAUUAAGCAUUAAGCUUUUCAUUUAAUGAAUGCUCCCCGAAGAGAGAAAAACCUUAUAUAUAGAUAUUACUAAUGGGUAAAGACAAGAAACAGAGGGACAAGAGAGUUCACCACAUAGAGAUGGAUGAUAAAACAGCAAAGAUAAAAAAAAAACAUAAGUUUCACUUCAGCUCUUUAUAUUUUAUAACUUCUCUAUGUAAGUCUGAAGGAGAACAUGUUUUUGACACUGCCCCCUGGUAAUUGUACACAAAAUUUAGACAACAGCGUGCAAAGCUGUGUGCAUAGGCUCUAUGUUGAAGCCAAACACAACCAGGCCAACAGUUAAGAGCUCAGGGAUGUGCUAAAUGCUCUGUUUUGAGGGGUUUUUCCCCCCUACUCUUGGAUCACAUAUUUCAACACAUAUUUCAUCUGUAAAGAGGUUCAGUGCAGUUUCUUUUGAUUUUCAGGCAGCCUAAAAAGUAAUGCCCUUAUAACAACAGUUAGCUGCUAUCAAAAGUGCACUUUUCUUACUCCUUAAAACAUCCCAUGACCUGCAUCAAGGAAGAAGAAAUACGUUUAGUGAAAGGUUCAAUGAGCCAAGUUCCGACAAGAGUUGAUCUUUAGCUCCGUCAAUUCGCGGUACAGACUAAAGCUUUGUGAGCUUUCAAAGACACCUAAUGUCUGUUUUCAGAGUCUGUCUUCUCCUCCCCAAGAACAUUUCCUUAUCGCUCAUCUGUCAAGUCACAUUUCUCUGUCUUGAGCGAGACCAAGCCGUGGCAUGCUCCGUCCCUGACAGUUAAAGAAAAAUAAAAUAGAAGAAGAAAAAAAAACAUCAUCUAUAAGAAACAAAUCGGCCAUUUCCAAACUGCAUGCCACUGUUCAGACAGAUCAAACUUCUGAUAACUGCGACAAUAUUGCAGAGGAAAAGGGCAGUUACCCACUUUAGAUUCAACACCCUCUCCAUUUAGCAUGUUUUGACUCAGUUUGAUCCUCUGCUACAAUGAAGGACGGGUGGAUGAUUGCUAUAUCUUCUGCGUACUAAGGAAAACAACAUUGCUGAAGAAUGGUGCACUCAGGAGCCAGAAGAUUGGUAUGCUGAAGAUCAUGGGAGCGUGUAAAAGUCUGGCGUACCGCCAUCGAGUCCCCUUCUGUACAGCACAUACCGGUGCACAUCAACAGCAAAGACAUACAGUAAAGUUACAGGUGAGGAGUCAUACUUAAGAAAGUUUCUGUGCUGAAGAGGCAUUCAGCAGAAGCAGGGAAACAUCUGCCCCGAGGGUGAUGUCAGACAGGCUGGUAUCACCUGCCACCUGGAGAAAAAGCCUCAGGAGAUUUUUAUUGCUGAUUAGCUGGGGGAGAGUGCAGACCAUUCAAAAGACUUCCCUUGUUUGUUUUUAUUUUUUUUUUAACCAUAUCUAUGAGGAAUCUGUGCCUGACAGGACCAUGAGGGUGCAAAGCCUGUUUUGUACAUGCUUUGAGUUCAAUACUGCAAACCAGAGUGGCAAAUCCACAUAUAAUUUUCUCAUGAUUUGAAGAACCGCUCUGCGGCGUGAACAGAUUUCUUUAAAAAUAGACAUUACGCAGGUGCAAUAUCACAGGAUAAAAAUCUGCCCUCCCAACCUGCAAAUCCACAGAGAUGGAAGUCAGCUGACAGGAUUAAUGUGAUUAAUAAAAGCGUCGGUGAAAAGUGCUCCCUGGGAAUGAAAAGUUGCCUUUUUGUCUGCAGGCAGCUCAAGGGACUCACAACAUAUCCUUCUUAGAUCUGUUGGCAACUUUAGUUGUAGACUGAUGAGCCAUAUCACACUGAUUAUAGAGAUGUCUGAAAGUCACGCAACGCUGCAGCAUUAGAUACAAGGGGAUAACCUGCCUG